GAUGAACGCUGGCGGCGUGCCUAAUACAUGCAAGUCGAGCGAACGGACGAGAAGCUUGCUUCUCUGAUGUUAGCGGCGGACGGGUGAGUAACACGUGGAUAACCUACCUAUAAGACUGGGAUAACUUCGGGAAACCGGAGCUAAUACCGGAUAAUAUUUUGAACCGCAUGGUUCAAAAGUGAAAGACGGUCUUGCUGUCACUUAUAGAUGGAUCCGCGCUGCAUUAGCUAGUUGGUAAGGUAACGGCUUACCAAGGCAACGAUGCAUAGCCGACCUGAGAGGGUGAUCGGCCACACUGGAACUGAGACACGGUCCAGACUCCUACGGGAGGCAGCAGUAGGGAAUCUUCCGCAACGGGCGAAAGCCUGACGGAGCAACGCCGCGUGAGUGAUGAAGGUCUUCGGAUCGUAAAACUCUGUUAUUAGGGAAGAACAUAUGUGUAAGUAACUGUGCACAUCUUGACGGUACCUAAUCAGAAAGCCACGGCUAACUGCGUG
RNAcentral lists this ribosomal RNA (497 nucleotides) under uncultured bacterium. RNAcentral describes it as "partial 16S ribosomal RNA". It matches the Rfam family "Bacterial small subunit ribosomal RNA", at positions 28 to 507 of the family's 1533-position model. The record is from RNAcentral.